UUCCAAAAGAGUAAGAGUUUUCAUUGAGCAGUUGUUAUGCGUCAGAUACUGGACUAAGCAGUUUGCAUACCUGAUCUAUUUAAACUUUACUCCAGUCUUACAAAGUGGGUAUACUAGUGUCAUUCUACAGAUAAGGAAUCUGAGGUUCAGAGAAGCUAAGUAACUUGUCCAGGUUCUUAAUUAACCUAUUGUACUGUUCAAGAAAAAGCCUAGAAAAAACGCCCAGAACGUUAAUAGCAGUAGUCUCUGAGCAGUGGGACUAUGAAUGACUUUUCAUUUCCCUUUUACAGUUUUCCCUCUUUUCCAAAAUAACCACAGUAGCAUGUUGCUUUUGCAAUUAGAAAAAAAGAGAAAGCUGUCAUUUAAAAAAUCAUUUGUUGUGGAGUACUGUUAUAAAAAUAUGCUGAUUAUUCAAAUCCAUAUUGAACAACCUAAACUAUUAAUAGUGAUAUUAUCUCUUAGUAGUGAUUUUCAUUUUUCAAUUUUUGCUUCUCUGUAAUUUAUUGUUUCUAUAAUUAAUUCUUUCAUUCAUUCAACAAAUACAGAGCAUCUGCUAUGAUUUAUUUUUAUGAGAAGAAAAAAUUUUAAAAGAAAAAAUGUACAAUGUCAGCCCAAAGUUGUAAAUUUUAUUCAAAAAAGGAGGAAGGAAAGAUAUAUAUGCUCAGAAAAAGACUGGGCACCAAAAUGUUACUAGCAAUUAUGUUUCGGUGGUGAGUUAGUGGAAAUGUUAUCUUUUCUGAGUACCUUUCUAUGCUUUCCCAGUUUUCAACAAUAUAUAUUACUUAUAUAUUCUAUCCAUGGCUGUGUCUCCAGUGCUUAGAAGAGUACCUGGCACAUAGUAGGAGUUCAAGAAGAUUUCUUGAACAAAUGAAUGCUUUUGAGUAUAAAUACCCCCAAAAUAGUUCUUAAAAACAGCAUGGACCUUCAUUUAUUCAGUCCGUUAUGGUAGGUGGCAAACUUUGCACUCAACCUAUGCUACUCUAUGCUGGAGAAGACACAGAGAAGGCCCAGGUGUAGCAGGGAGUUCCAGUUGCCAUUUACUGGGUGGUAGUGAUGGGGAGAGCCAUGUUACAGGAUGACAGGGUGAGCAGAAAUGGGGGACACACUAUUCAGAAAAACACCACAGUGUUGUUUUGUCGUAUUUGUUAAGAAUUUUACUCAACGUAUUUCCAGGAGAAUGGGAGGCAACACAUCACUGUCCCAGUGUCCAAUGAGGAUAGACCCCAUGUUGUAAUAGCUGGGUUUCUUGGUAGCGCUAUCUGAGGUUCACAGAGGAAUGGCGGGGUGAGAUGAGGUUGGGAUGACUCAGUCAUUUUCUCCUAUUUUGCUUGUAAUUAUGAAGCUCACUUCUCUGGUUUUAUAAAUUAACUUGGGUCAUAAGUCCAAAGAGAGACCAGAUAUGAGGCCAAUGUGGGGACAGAAGUCCCUUUGCUGGUACAUGAAUCAGGCUGACUGCCCCAGCAUCUAUAUCUCCACUUGGCUGUCCAACUUUGACUCAUGUAUGGGGGAAGUUAUAUGCUAUGGUGAUAUUGCCAAGUUAGAAGAGUCUCAAAAACCACCUGAGGCACCUCUUAACCACUCUCUGCUUCAAUCCUUGGCCCCCUGCUGUAUUUUCCACACAGCAGCCACAGCAGCUUUUAAAGCCUAACUCAGAUUGUGUCUUUACACAAAAAUCUACAACGGCCAGAGCUCUUACAGUAAGGCCCUACCUUGUGUCCCCAGCUCUCGGUUAUCUCUCUGACCUAAUUUUCUACAGCUUUCCCCUUGCUCACUCCAGUCUAGCCACCUGGACCUCCUAGUUGUUUCUCAAACACGCCAGGCACACUUUGCCCUUGCUGUAUCCCUUGCAGGAAAUUGCCC
Molecule: long non-coding RNA, 1860 nt
Filed under: Equus caballus (horse)
Lineage: Eukaryota; Metazoa; Chordata; Mammalia; Perissodactyla; Equidae
Description: lncRNA (ENSECAG00000056519.1)
Source: RNAcentral